This 246-nucleotide unclassified non-coding RNA is filed under the name Hevea brasiliensis (rubber tree). Lineage: Eukaryota; Viridiplantae; Streptophyta; Magnoliopsida; Malpighiales; Euphorbiaceae. The record is from RNAcentral.
AGAAUGUUUGAUGGUCUAAUGGAACCCAGUUCUUGAUGAUCUUGAACUCCGGUUCUUGCAGCAGCAGCUACUGGCGGCUUAUUAGAACUUGGGGGGUUAACUGGUUCAGUGGAUUGUUCUUGUGUAGUUGUUGUUUCUUUGAAAAGAUCUUCUCUAUAUGUUUUUCUCAUAUAAUUCUCAUCGGAAACAAGAGUUUGAGGAUAAAGCUGGUGGUGGAAUCCUAAAAUUGUAUUGUUGGAACCAAUA